Molecule: ribosomal RNA, 497 nt
Filed under: uncultured bacterium
Lineage: Bacteria
Description: partial 16S ribosomal RNA
Rfam family: Bacterial small subunit ribosomal RNA
Source: RNAcentral
GAUGAACGCUGGCGGCGUGCCUAAUACAUGCCAGUCGAGCGAACGGACGAGAAGCUUGCUUGUCUGAUGUUAGCGGCGGACGGGUGAGUAACACGUGGAUAACCUACCUAUAAGACUGGGAUAACUUCGGGAAACCGUAGCUAAUACCGGAGAAUAUUUUGAACCGCAUGGUUCAAAAGUGAAAGACGGUCUUGCUGUCACUUAUCGCUGGAUCUGCGCUGCAUUAGCUAGUUGGUAAGGUAACGGCCUAUCAAGGCAACGAGGCAUAGCCGAACGGAGAGAGGGAUAGCCCACAUGGGAAGGGGACCACGGACCAUACUCCUACGGGAGGGAGCAGUAGGGAAUGUUACGCAAUGGGCGAAAGCCUGACGGAGCAACGCCGCGUGUGUGAUGACGGUCUUCGGUUCGUAAAACUCUGUUAUUAGGGAAGAACAGAUGUGUAAGGAACUGUGCACAGCGUGACGGUACCUAAUCAGAAAGCCACGGCUAACUACGUG